Molecule: ribosomal RNA, 561 nt
Filed under: Colletotrichum gloeosporioides
Lineage: Eukaryota; Fungi; Ascomycota; Sordariomycetes; Glomerellales; Glomerellaceae
Description: eukaryotic LSU rRNA
Rfam family: 5.8S ribosomal RNA (bases 201-354)
Source: RNAcentral
CGUAGGUGAACCUGCGGAGGGAUCAUUACUGAGUUUACGCUCUACAACCCUUUGUGAACAUACCUACAACUGUUGCUUCGGCGGGUAGGGUCUCCGCGACCCUCCCGGCCUCCCGCCUCCGGGCGGGUCGGCGCCCGCCGGAGGAUAACCAAACUCUGAUUUAACGACGUUUCUUCUGAGUGGUACAAGCAAAUAAUCAAAACUUUUAACAACGGAUCUCUUGGUUCUGGCAUCGAUGAAGAACGCAGCGAAAUGCGAUAAGUAAUGUGAAUUGCAGAAUUCAGUGAAUCAUCGAAUCUUUGAACGCACAUUGCGCCCGCCAGCAUUCUGGCGGGCAUGCCUGUUCGAGCGUCAUUUCAACCCUCAAGCUCUGCUUGGUGUUGGGGCCCUACAGCCGAUGUAGGCCCUCAAAGGUAGUGGCGGACCCUCCCGGAGCCUCCUUUGCGUAGUAACUUUACGUCUCGCACUGGGAUCCGGAGGGACUCUUGCCGUAAAACCCCCCAAUUUUCCAAAGGUUGACCUCGGAUCAGGUAGGAAUACCCGCUGAACUUAAGCAUAUCA